UACGGAGGGAGCUAGCGUUGCUCGGAAUUACUGGGCGUAAAGCGCACGUAGGCGGCUUUGUAAGUUAGAGGUGAAAGCCCGGGGCUCAACUCCGGAACUGCCUUUAAGACUGCAUCGCUUGAAUCCAGGAGAGGUGAGUGGAAUUCCGAGUGUAGAGGUGAAAUUCGUAGAUAUUCGGAAGAACACCAGUGGCGAAGGCGGCUCACUGGACUGGUAUUGACGCUGAGGUGCGAAAGCGUGGGGAGCAAACAGG
This 253-nucleotide ribosomal RNA is filed under the name uncultured bacterium. RNAcentral's name for it is "partial 16S ribosomal RNA". It matches the Rfam family "Bacterial small subunit ribosomal RNA", at positions 524 to 776 of the family's 1533-position model. The record is from RNAcentral.